This 332-nucleotide unclassified non-coding RNA is filed under the name soil metagenome. RNAcentral's name for it is "partial contains 5.8S ribosomal RNA, internal transcribed spacer 2, and large subunit ribosomal RNA". The stretch from base 1 to 120 matches the Rfam family "5.8S ribosomal RNA", at positions 35 to 154 of the family's 154-position model. The record is from RNAcentral.
GAUGAAGAACGCAGCGAAAUGCGAUAAGUAAUGUGAAUUGCAGAAUUCAGUGAAUCAUCGAAUCUUUGAACGCACAUUGCGCCCUCUGGUAUUCCGGGGGGCAUGCCUGUUCGAGCGUCAUUUAAACCUUCAAGCUAAGCUUGGUGUUGGGUGACUGUCCGCCUCACGGCGGACUCGCCUCAAAAUUAUUGGCGGCCGGUACAUUGGCUUCGAGCGCAGCAGAAACGCGAACUCGGGCCCGUCGUAUUGGCUCCCAGAAGCUAUCUUCACAAUUUUGACCUCGGAUCAGGUAGGGAUACCCGCUGAACUUAAGCAUAUCAAUAAGCGGAGGA